CCUAACGGUAUCGAGCGAGCCGGUUGUAGACGUGGUCCAGGUUUCUGCACAGGAAUAUCGAGAGCGUCAUGAACCCGAGCUAUAGAGAAAGGAGAUGAGGCCCAGGAGGCAGCGGAGCUCCUUGAGGGCCCCCACACAACCCAGGAGGGCGAUGCCCAUGGUGAAGAUUCCUGAGAUGGCCAGGACUUUGGACCAGAUCUGCAGAGGCACGAAGGCCAAGCCUGGGAGAGGUGAGGGGAGUGAUGAUGAGCUGUGUGGCACAGCUCCAGGCAGCCCCAU
RNAcentral lists this long non-coding RNA (279 nucleotides) under Homo sapiens (human). Its description in RNAcentral is "HSALNT0398432". The record is from RNAcentral. Lineage: Eukaryota; Metazoa; Chordata; Mammalia; Primates; Hominidae.